Molecule: ribosomal RNA, 279 nt
Filed under: Mediterraneibacter faecis JCM 15917
Lineage: Bacteria; Bacillati; Bacillota; Clostridia; Lachnospirales; Lachnospiraceae
Description: [Ruminococcus] faecis JCM 15917 partial 16S ribosomal RNA
Rfam family: Bacterial small subunit ribosomal RNA
Source: RNAcentral
UAUGGUUGUGCCAGCAGCCGCGGUAAUCCGUAUGGUGCAAGCGUUAUCCGGAUUUACUGGGUGUAAAGGGAGCGUAGACGGAGUGGCAAGUCUGAUGUGAAAACCCGGGGCUCAACCCCGGGACUGCAUUGGAAACUGUCAAUCUAGAGUACCGGAGAGGUAAGCGGAAUUCCUAGUGUAGCGGUGAAAUGCGUAGAUAUUAGGAGGAACACCAGUGGCGAAGGCGGCUUACUGGACGGUAACUGACGUUGAGGCUCGAAAGCGUGGGGAGCAAACAGG